RNAcentral lists this ribosomal RNA (498 nucleotides) under uncultured bacterium. Its description in RNAcentral is "partial 16S ribosomal RNA". It matches the Rfam family "Bacterial small subunit ribosomal RNA", at positions 29 to 523 of the family's 1533-position model. The record is from RNAcentral.
AGUGAACGCUGGCGGCAGGCCUAACACAUGCAAGUCGAGCGGCAGCGCGGGGCAACCUGGCGGCGAGCGGCGGACGGGUGAGGAAUACGUCGGAAUCUGCCUUUUUGUGGGGGAUAACGUAGGGAAACUUACGCUAAUACCGCAUACGACCUACGGGUGAAAGUGGGGGACCGCAAGGCCUCACGCAGAAAGAUGAGCCGACGUCCGAUUAGCUAGCUGGCGAGGUAGUGGCUCACCAAGGCGACGAUCGGUAGCUGGUCUGAGAGGAUGAUCAGCCACACUGGGACUGAGACACGGCCCAGACUCCUACGGGAGGCAGUAGUGGGGAAUAUUGGACAAUGGGCGCAAGCCUGAUCCAGCCAUGCCGCGUGUGUGAAGAAGGCCUUCGUGUUGUAAAGCACUUUUGUCCGGAAAGAAAUCCUGAAGAUUAAUACUCUUUGGGGAUGACGGUACCGGAAGAAUAAGCACCGGCUAACUUCGUGCCAGCCGCCGCGGUAA